Molecule: non-coding RNA, 732 nt
Organism: Odocoileus virginianus texanus
Lineage: Eukaryota; Metazoa; Chordata; Mammalia; Artiodactyla; Cervidae
Source: RefSeq, a predicted model, not a curated record
GCACGACUCCCCCGGGGCAGCCCACUCCCCGCAGCAGAGCCGGCCGGCGGGUCUCGCUUCCACGUUAGCCAACGGCCCGAGUCAGCAGUUCUUGAAGGCUUCUAACCUCAUCUUCCUUUCUGACUUCCUCAAGACCUGGCCAGAUCAGCAGUGAUUGAUGACUGACCAACUAUAUGAUUCCCAGUGUCUGGAAAGAAAAAGUGGGUAGUGCCUGACUGCACUGACCACCUGUAACAGGAGGUGAUAUAUAAGUUUUCUCCCUGUCUUGGAGUUUUGGCUGAGAUUCCAGGGCUGAGAACAAUGGGAAUGAAGAGUCCAGAGGAUCUCAAGAAAGAUGCCAGUCAGAGCAUCCACCCAGACCUUCUGUCCGGGUCCCUAGGGGAUCAGACUGAGCCACCCUUUCACCUGGACCAGGAACUUGAUCAGAGGGGAAGAUGGUGAGGAUUCCUUUACAGCUUCCUGCUGGACACUGUCUUUACCACCACCUUCUCUGCCUCAGAUGGAAUGAUAAGGGUUUGGAUGGAACUGUUUGGAGAAAAAGGCCUUUGAGCCCUGGGGUGCAGAUCCCAAGGAGGAGAAAAGUCUAAAGAUGAGAGAAGGAUUCUGCCAGUGCUCUGCCUUGAAAGUAUGAAAGUUGAAGCUGUUACCAUGAGACAAAGGACACAACAGAUGAUAUGAACUAUGAGGUGUCACGGAUUUCCCUUUGUUUGACAGAGACCAAUAGAAACUCUA